Molecule: long non-coding RNA, 1691 nt
Organism: Gasterosteus aculeatus aculeatus (three-spined stickleback)
Lineage: Eukaryota; Metazoa; Chordata; Actinopteri; Perciformes; Gasterosteidae
Source: Ensembl
CAAUUAUUACCAAUUCUUAUUAUGAUAAAUGAAGCUUAGGCGAAAAUUCAGUCAUUAAGACUGGACAGGCUGUGCCGUUCCAUGGUGGCCUCCUCUCUCGGGUAGUACCAGCCAACGAGACGUGGGUGUCGUUACCGUAAACCAAUUGCAUCGGUGCAGGUGUAGCAGGAUGACCGUGUCCGAGCCGCCCGCACCUCCAACACUCCUGCCCCGGCGCUUGAGAACCUCUCUGUGGGUUGGGAAGGGUGCCUGGGUCCCCCGAGGCCGGUGGGUCAAGGGCUGGGGAAACAGGCGCCAGCCGUGGAGCCGGUGUGGGUUGCUCCGCCGACCGUGGUGGCCUCCCUCCCCGCGGUAGAGCUCCUGGUUGGGCCGACCCCGGCGGACUCUCUCGGUCCCUCUGCCCGCUGGGAUGCACCGCCAGGUGGUCCUCCGCCAGGGAGAUGGCCGCCUCCAGGGUCGCUGGUCGGUGGCACCGGACCCACGCUGCCGUCCGGACCGGGAGCCUCUCCCCAAACUGCUCCUGCACCACCUUCGCCAUCACGCCGUGGACCCCUCCUGCCGCGUCCGGCUGCAACCACCUUGCAGCGGCGUCCUUCAGCCACUAGCCGUACGCGAAUAGUCUGGCCUCGCGGAAUCUCCGGCAGUGGUCCUCCGGCAACAGCCCCAGCCUAUCCACCACGGCCCUUUUAACGUUGUCGUAGACGCGCCGUGCCCCAUGGCUGCGGUCUGCACCUCUCCGGCCAGUAGAGGCAAAAGCCGGACUGGCCACUCUCCCGCCGGCCAACCGCACGUCUCCGCCGUCGCCUCGAAGGCCUCCAGAAAUACCUGGACGUCGUCCCCUGCUGACGUCCGGUGGAGCGUGAGACCGGUGAGCGUCGCGGGCCCCUGCAUCGGCGGCACAGCCACGGCCAGCUGCUUCAGCGCCUGGGCUUGUCUCCCCACCUGGGCCUGGAGCGCCCCCAGGAACUGCCGGUUGGCGUCCGCCUGCUCCCUCAGGAUGGCAGCCAGGUCGCCGAUCAUGCGACCAAGCGACCAAGCGCCACAAUCGGCUGGGCUGCCAUCCCCUACUGGUGGUUGUCGUCCGCCGCUUCCAUCCCCCAGUCACGUUGGGCCGCACUGUAACGUGCGGUCCUUGGGGGAACGUGGAAAGACGAGGAAAUAGCGUGGCAUUUUAACAGUCUUUAUUUUGCAGGUCCCUAUUUUGCCUUAAACGACGUGCGUCCGGCUCCAGCCAGACUCUCUCUCUGUCCUGUCGCCGGAUCUCCCCUUCUUAAGGCAGAACAUAGAGACAUCGUUAAUUCCACCUGAUGCCAUUUAUGCCUCCUCCGGGCACCGUUCCCCGAGCCACUCCCAUCUCCGUCCCGUCUGCAGCUGCGCCAAACCACGGCCGCCACCACACCAACCUCCUAGAUAAGAAGAAACGCUUCAGACUGAAGAAGCAUGUGACAGCUCUUAGAAAGUUGAUCGAUAGAGACGGAGGGAAAAGUUGCGGAUCAGUGAUUGAUUUUUUAUGUUACAGUUCCCGUUUUAUGACUGUGUAGCCGUGAUAGCGCUACCACCGGUGGGUUCUUGUAAAGACGCACGACACAGGAUGAGGGUAACCAGACUUUUAUUGUCCAAAAGGGAAGACAGUGAGCAGGAAUGAGUUCGCACUAUGCGCGUGGUCGGUUUCGCCUUGUCCGGCUCCGCUC